RNAcentral lists this unclassified non-coding RNA (305 nucleotides) under plant metagenome. RNAcentral describes it as "partial contains 5.8S ribosomal RNA, internal transcribed spacer 2, and large subunit ribosomal RNA". The stretch from base 1 to 105 matches the Rfam family "5.8S ribosomal RNA", at positions 50 to 154 of the family's 154-position model. The record is from RNAcentral.
GAAAUGCGAUAAGUCGUGUGAAUUGCAGAAUUCAGUGAAUCAUCGAAUCUUUGAACGCACAUUGCGCCCUUUGGUAUUCCUUAGGGCAUGCCUGUUCGAGCGUCAUCUAAACCUUCACGCCCUGCUUGGUGUUGGGUGCCUGUCCCGCCUCCGCGCGCGGACUCACCUCAAAUCCAUUGGCGGCCCCCGCGUCGGCCACGAGCGCAGCAGAAACGCGAACUCGUGAGCCCGUCCGGGCGGCUCCCAGAAGCUACACCCACCCAGUUUGACCUCGGAUCAGGUAGGGAUACCCGCUGAACUUAAGC